AUUGAACGCUGGCGGCAGGCCUAACACAUGCAAGUCGAGCGGAUGAAGGGAGCUUGCUCCUGGAUUCAGCGGCGGACGGGUGAGUAAUGCCUAGGAAUCUGCCUGGUAGUGGGGGAUAACGUCCGGAAACGGGCACUAAUACCACAUACGUCCUGAGGGAGAAAGUGGGGGAUCUUCGGACCUCACGCUAUCAGAUGAGCCUAGGUCGGAUUAGCUAGUUGGUGGGGUAAAGGCCUACCAAGGCGACGAUCCGUAACUGGUCUGAGAGGAUGAUCAGUCACACUGGAACUGAGACACGGUCCAGACUCCUACGGGAGGCAGCAGUGGGGAAUAUUGGACAAUGGGCGAAAGCCUGAUCCAGCCAUGCCGCGUGUGUGAAGAAGGUCUUCGGAUUGUAAAGCACUUUAAGUUGGGAGGAAGGGCAGUAAGUUAAUACCUUGCUGUUUUGACGUUACCAACAGAAUAAGCACCGGCUAACUUCGUG
RNAcentral lists this ribosomal RNA (484 nucleotides) under uncultured bacterium. Its description in RNAcentral is "partial 16S ribosomal RNA". It matches the Rfam family "Bacterial small subunit ribosomal RNA", at positions 30 to 507 of the family's 1533-position model. The record is from RNAcentral.